GAACUUAAGCAUAUCAAUAAGCGGAGGAAAAGAAACCAACAGGGAUUGCCUCAGUAACGGCGAGUGAAGCGGCAACAGCUCAAAUUUGAAAUCUGGCUCUUUCAGGGUCCGAGUUGUAAUUUGUAGAAGAUGCUUUGGGUGUAGCUCCGGUCUAAGUUCCUUAGAACAGCACGUCAUAGAGGGUGAGAAUCCCGUAUGUGACUGGGUGCUUUCGCUCGUGUAAAGCUCUUUCGACGAGUCGAGUUGUUUGGGAAUGCAGCUCAAAAUGGGUGGUAAAUUUCAUCUAAAGCUAAAUAUUGGCCAGAGACCGAUAGCGCACAAGUAGAGUGAUCGAAAGAUGAAAAGCACUUUGGAAAGAGAGUUAAACAGUACGUGAAAUUGUUGAAAGGGAAGCGCUUGCAACCAGACUUGCGCGCUGUUGAUCAUCCGAGCUUUUGCCCGGUGCACUCGGCAGCGUUCAGGCCAGCAUCGGUUUUGGUGGGCGGAUAAAGGCCUUGGGAAUGUAGCUUCUUUCGGGGAGUGUUAUAGCCCUCGGUGCAAUGCGCCCUACCGGGACCGAGGACCGCGCUUCGGCUAGGAUGCUGGCGUAAUGGUUGUAAGCGACCCGUCUUGAAACACGGACCAAGGAGUCUAACAUCUAUGCGAGUGUUUGGGUGUCAAACCCAUACGCGUAAUGAAAGUGAACGGAGGUGAGAACCCUUAAGGGUGCAUCAUCGACCGAUCCUGAUGUCUUCGGAUGGAUUUGAGUAAGAGCAUAGCUGUUGGGACCCGAAA
Molecule: ribosomal RNA, 774 nt
Filed under: uncultured fungus
Lineage: Eukaryota; Fungi
Description: eukaryotic LSU rRNA
Rfam family: Eukaryotic large subunit ribosomal RNA
Source: RNAcentral